RNAcentral lists this ribosomal RNA (253 nucleotides) under uncultured bacterium. RNAcentral's name for it is "partial 16S ribosomal RNA". It matches the Rfam family "Bacterial small subunit ribosomal RNA", at positions 524 to 776 of the family's 1533-position model. The record is from RNAcentral.
UACGUAGGGGGCUAGCGUUGUCCGGAAUCAUUGGGCGUAGAGCGCGUGUAGGCGGUCCGGUAAGUCCGCUGUGAAAGUCGGGGGCUCAACCCUCGAAUGCCGGUGGAUACUGUCGGGCUAGAGUGCGGAAGAGGCGAGUGGAAUUCCUGGUGUAGCGGUGAAAUGCGCAGAUAUCAGGAGGAACACCUAUUGCGAAGGCAGCUCGCUGGGACGUAACUGACGCUGAGACGCGAAAGCGUGGGGAGCAAACAGG